UACCCUUGACAUGUCUGGAAUGCCGAAGAGAUUUGGCAGUGCUCGCAAGAGAACCGGAACACAGGUGCUGCAUGGCUGUCGUCAGCUCGUGUCGUGAGAUGUUGGGUUAAGUCCCGCAACGAGCGCAACCCUUGUCAUUAGUUGCUACGAAAGGGCACUCUAAUGAGACUGCCGGUGACAAACCGGAGGAAGGUGGGGAUGACGUCAAGUCCUCAUGGCCCUUAUGGGUAGGGCUUCACACGUCAUACAAUGGUCGGGACAGAGGGCUGCCAACCCGCAAGGGGGAGCCAAUCCCAGAAACCCGAUCGUAGUCCGGAUCGCAGUCUGCAACUCGACUGCGUGAAGUCGGAAUCGCUAGUAAUCGCGGAUCAGCAUGUCGCGGUGAAUACGUUCCCGGGUCUUGUACACACCGCCCGUCACACCAUGGGAGUGGGUUUUACCAGAAGUAGUUAGCCUAACCGCAAGGGGGGCGAUUACCACGGUAGGAUUCAUGACUGGGGUGAAGUCGUAACAAGGUAGGCGUAGAUGA
RNAcentral lists this ribosomal RNA (529 nucleotides) under uncultured bacterium. RNAcentral's name for it is "bacterial SSU rRNA". It matches the Rfam family "Bacterial small subunit ribosomal RNA", at positions 976 to 1509 of the family's 1533-position model. The record is from RNAcentral.